UACGUAGGGGGCAAGCGUUGUCCGGAUUUAUUGGGCGUAAAGCGCGCGCAGGCGGUUUUUUAAGUCUGGGGUUUAAGUUCGGGGCUCAACCCCGUAUCGCCCUGGAAACUGGGAGACUGGAGUGCAGGAGAGGAAAGUGGAAUUCCACGUGUAGCGGUGAAAUGCGUAGAUAUGUGGAGGAACACCAGUGGCGAAGGCGACUUUCUGGCCUGUAACUGACGCUGAGGCGCGAAAGCGUGGGGAGCAAACAGG
RNAcentral lists this ribosomal RNA (252 nucleotides) under uncultured bacterium. Its description in RNAcentral is "partial 16S ribosomal RNA". It matches the Rfam family "Bacterial small subunit ribosomal RNA", at positions 524 to 776 of the family's 1533-position model. The record is from RNAcentral.